GACUACCAAUGACCAGCUUAAUGGAGCUUUUUAAUUUUAUCAUACUAGUUGUCCCUAUUGUAGUUUGAGAACUAGAUUCUCAUGUAAAAUGAGAACAAAAAUAUCAUGUAAUUCAGAGUCAUGCAGAAAGUAUUUCUUGCUUACAAAAGAAAUAAAUGUAAUUUUUCCUAGAAAACCUGGAGCAGUUCAUGUGUCUUAUUCAGAGAACCAACAGCUCUCAAAUUUUCAUUAAAGGAGAAAAGUUUACUUCUGUGAUAGAACAGAUUUGUAAUAACUAAAAAGCAUCCAGAAAUGUGGUACUGUCUCAAACCAAGUCUAACUGGAAAGCAGAGGACAGACCUGAAGCAAUGCUGGAAAUAUUUCCACUUUGCUUAGGGGUGAAUUUUCAAGCUGGAACUUUAGAAAGUUAGAAAAUAUCUAAAUAGAUAUUACAAUUUUCAUCUUUGGUAAACUGAGGCUCCUAAAAUUUAAAUGAAUUUCUCCCAAAAUUAUAUUACUUGUUAGUGACAAAAUUAUAACUAUAAUUCAAUUUCCUUUCUUCUAGCUCAGUACAUGUAAUUUCAAAUGAGACAAAAUAUAGUGCAUCAUUUAUUAAUGACAAAGAAUAAUCAUUGUGAAAUUUAUUUCUAAUCAAGUUUGCCAAAAUCUACAUUCUGAAAUUCUACUCAUAAGUGCAUACUCUACUCCAAACCACCCAACUUAGAAAACAUAAUAUCUGAACACCCAUCUUGAGUUUUGCUAAACCAAGAAACUUAAACCUACCAGCUACUGAUUCUAUUCUUGUGACCUACUGCAUGGAUUUUCUUUGGCAGCCCAGUAAAAACCUCACAUGCUGAAAUAAUUUAUUUCUGAAUCUAAUAUCCCUACGCAAAUUCUUCCAUUUGAUUAACUUUUUUUUUCUCUUUAUCAUCUCAUAGACAUUCUAACAGAAUAGGAAAAUGGCUCAUUUAUCCAAUUAGAAAAAUAAAUCAAGUGAGGGAAUUUGAGAAGGUGGUGGGAGAAAGAGAAAAAUGGAUAAUGGACUUUCAUAAACUUCUGGGACACUGUACAUGAAGUAAUUUAAAGAUAGCUUCUUAGGGACUUAUAAUAGAGUUACAAUCUAUUUAAGAAUAUGUUAGGUUUCAAAAAGCUGUUUCUCAAUCUACCUGCUUGAACUUUCAAAGUAACCCUCAACAAGCAGCCCCUGAUGCCGUUGGGUGGUGGAUGCUGGCAGAGUUGAGGUCUUUCGACUGGACUCUUUAGGGGUUUUCAUACCUAUGAAGUUUGCAGGUUAAAUAUUUGUAAGAGGGCUUUUUUUCUAAGAGCAAAAAAGGGAAGAGUACAGAGGCUGCUUGGGUUGAAAUUAAGUAAAAUUUAACCAGGAGCUUAUAUAAGCAUCAGCCCUCCCCUUGUCCCUGAUUUUCAGAACCACUUUUCCACCUUGGGAGAAAUGCCUUGCACAAGAGUUGCUGGUUUAUCUUCCUUGUAGCCCCUCUAGAGAAAGAAGAGAAAGGAAAGCUUCUGCAGACUCUGUCCCUCAUUUCUCUGUCUCUCAACACCAUCAAUACUUGGGAGGAAAGGAAUAGCAGCAUUACCAAAUCAGGUCUGGCUGCUCCAAAAAAGCAACACUCAGAGAGAGAUUGACAAACAGUAGAAAAGAAAAGUGCUUUUAAUCAGAAAGCCAGCAAUCUGGGGAGAUGGUGGACUCAGGGUCCCUCAAAACCACCUCUGAAGAUUCUGCUUGGCCAUGAAACUUUUAAAGAGAAGAAAAAUGUGAAAGAUCUGCCUGGGGGUGGCUGGUUUAAAAGUUAGUUACAAUAAGCUUUGCUCAAGUGAGAGAAAAGGGGCUUCUUGCUGAGGGUAGUUUCCUGCAAAGCCCUGUUUAGAGCAACAAAGGCAUUGCUGAGACCCAAAUCAGAACAUCCUGUCUCUCCCGGAGCACCAGCAGAAGAACAAGGUACUUAGCACCAAAUGACUAAGUAUUGAAUGGAAUCAAUAGACAGUUCUGGAAAGGGAGGAAGUAGGUUAUAAAUAUUUGAUGACGUUAAUGGGAAACUCACAGAAAGCGAAGCAAACAGUGUCACAGGGUGCACUGGUAUACAGAUGCGUGCACUUCUGAGACAUUUUCCACUUAGUUUUACCUUUUACUACUAUGGGUGUUAGGCACCAAUUCUUCUUUUAUUUAUUUAUUUAUUUUGGAUCAACAUUGGUAGGAGGUCUGUUUCAUUGUUUACAUUCCUAUCACCCACAAGCUUGCCAGUACCUUUUUGGGAGAAACCAAGAGGAUGAAUUUUCUACCUCUCCAACCCAGGGCAUAUCUACAGCAAUUUUAAACCCCGUGUUUACACAUAAAGGUACAUAGUCUGCGUAAGACAUCACCUCAGCAACUAUCAUGUAAUCUGAUCCUGGCAGAGAACAGAUGGUGACUAUUUACUCUGCCUCAUCCCACCUGCAUCUCUGAAAGCCCAAAUAGAAAGCACUUUCAAAAACAGCCCUAAACCUGAGCAGGUAGCCUGGUGCUGCUGAUGACUAAUGCAAGUGUUGUUCAAAUUGAAGGAGAACUUAAAGUGUUUAAACACAUUUCCUCUACACAAAAGAACUUUAAACUUUAUAAAGUUCACAACUGUCAUCUUAUAUCACCCAUCUGUCCGGCUGUACGCGUAAGAAAUAUUGUGAUGAUAUAGGGUCUAGCAUUCCUGUCGAAUCUUAAAACCCAGGAUCUAUCCCAUACAGCAAUUCAGAGGGCAAAGCCAGGAGAACGUACUACAUGGGAGGCCUGUUCAGACAUCCAAGAUCUGGCUCGUAAUGACAAGGCUCAUAAAUUUGGAGGGAAACCCAGAAUAAUUCCCUGAAAAUGAAAUUAUUUCCAACGAUCUCUUUGGAAAUAAUUGAAAAUGAUAUUAGUUCAAAUUACGAUCUAAGAUCAAGAAUUAAUCAACAAAAGACAUAAGAAAUUCAGCCAAAGUAAGCACACUAACAUGGCCAGAAAUUCAAACAACCCCAUUUGAGAAGAAAAUAAAGAAAACAAACCUAAGUUCAGGUCCAAUCUCCCCGUCCAACUUCCAUUUUUUAUGUACACAUUGAAGCUCCUCAACUGUAAAAGGGUAAGGUCCCAGCAAAAAGAUGAAAUUGACACAAGAAUGCUGCAGGGGUGGGGUGGGAGGACCAGUCAGCAAGGGGUCUUCUGUAUCGGUCAUGGACAAUUUGAAGUCCUAAAAAACCUACGGGUUCUGACCCAAGCUCAGUCUGUGAAUCCUUUCGGCGCCUUGCUGACAUUUCUUAAGGAACCAAUCCAGUUGUG
RNAcentral lists this long non-coding RNA (3280 nucleotides) under Sus scrofa (pig). Its description in RNAcentral is "lncRNA (ENSSSCG00050069158.1)". The record is from RNAcentral. Lineage: Eukaryota; Metazoa; Chordata; Mammalia; Artiodactyla; Suidae.